CACUUGCGCACCACACACACACACACACACACACACACACUUACAAACACACAUAGACAACCGCUCGCGGUGUCUCUGUGUGUUUUUCUUUGCGAAAACGGAACGGAGAAAGAUGUGACGACGCGAAGAGAGCAACGCCAUCACGACACAGAACAUCGUCAGCGGCAACAAUAUAAAUAGCCAUAAAAGAAAGGGACACAUCGGCGUUUUCGCCAUGAGACAGGCAUUCAUCCAUCGAUGGCAGGGCCGAAGAGCGAAGUGACACACGCCCAGCGUGCAAGAUAGCUGAGCGACGCGGGCUACUUCACUCGUGACAUCCCUCGAAUACAGAAGGACCCACCCUUUCCUUCCUCUCUCGUACACAGCCCGAAGCGCCCAUACCGUGUAUUAGUCGCACCCUGCUGCUUCAUCGUUUUUCUCAUUUCCAUCGUGACCAUCAGCUACAGCCGGAGAAGGUGGCACUGUGAUUCGGCUUUUAGAGCAUUCCUUUUUGUCGUUGCUUCUCUGAUGCCGGCAUGCACAUCUCAGGGCGUGGUGGUGUCACAGGGCCCAGUACAUCCCCUCCCACUCUCUCUGUGUGUGCGUGGAGAAGUCGGGCAGCCCCCCUCCCCUCCUGUGCUUGCGAAAUGCCGAGCGGCUUCUGGCGGUGACAGGGUCUGGUGACUGCGACGUGGGGAGGUCAGAGCGAUGCAUUGCUACUGAUGUCGGCAGUGAGGUCGUGGGCGGCGUUGCGUCGGAGCGACCCGCGCCGCUGAACACGUCGGCGCCAUCGACAUGAUGGGCGAAGUGCCAGCGUGACUGGAAGGCGUCGCAGCCGGCCCUCACACUGCCCGCUGGUGUGUGUGGCGGGGGGCCUGGGGCACCGCACGAGGGGGUGCGCGAGGUGGUGGCGUGCGUGAUGGGUGCGGCUGUGAGGCGACCUGCGAGGCCGGGGCGGUGCUGAGGUGACUGCGUGUGUGCGCAUUGCUGUGAGGCAUGCGUCUCUGGCUGCAUUGCACCGCGCGGGGUGCGCCUGUGGCAGGGCCGGGGAGGGCUGGAGUGGGGCUUGACUCCUGUUGUAUGGCCGGGAGGAUGGGCUCACGCUGAAGCAAGAGAAAAAAGCCCUUUCCUUGCAUGCUUUAGCGAGAUGUAUGUCUAUGUGCGUGCUACGCUGCUUCUUCACUUUCCGCUGAUGCCAUUAGCGUUAGCUGCUUAUGUGUGUGUGUGCGCGAGUGAGUGCGCUGACCGGUGC
RNAcentral lists this unclassified non-coding RNA (1231 nucleotides) under Leishmania donovani. RNAcentral's name for it is "gene:unknown". The record is from RNAcentral. Lineage: Eukaryota; Euglenozoa; Kinetoplastea; Trypanosomatida; Trypanosomatidae.